CGAGAAGAACAUAUUCAUUUAGCUCCUACAUCCCCAGGGCUUUGUUCCUUUCAUUAGGGACCAGGGCCCGGCACCCUUGUGAAGUUAGGCUGGUGUUUUUCUGCCUCUUCUGAAUCAUUUAGACUUUAUCUUUAAUAUGUAUUCAGAUGCUGAUCUUUUCAAAAAUUCAGAAAGGGCUUUUGCUUUCUCCAGCACCAUUCCUGGCAUCACAGAAUGCUGAAUGAAGCACUCGCAGCUAAAGAGAGGAUCCCCAGUCCUGCGUGGAAUGUUCUUAAGCUCAGUACCAUAGUUGGCGGUAACUGUUGAUAACGCUUUCUGGGUGUUUCCCGUGUGCCUUUUAAUUAGGACUUGUAGAACUCUGUGGUCAAGACUUUUUCAAUAUUCUUCCUCCUCUUACUCUCAUUUAGAUGGAGCAAUGGAAAAAACACAAAGAAGUUGGACUUGGUGCUAAUCAUUACAAAUGCCUAGGUCGGCAGAGUCUCUAUGAAGCACUGGUGUCAAGGCUGUGAGAGGCGAUCUGAUGGCAUGCCAACAUGUAACCUCAGUGUUUCUCCUUGGCAACAAAAGCAGUUUUUCGCCAUAUAAACCAUCCUUACUGGGGUGGAGGGAACAUAUAGUUACAUUUGAGACUAUUUCAUAAGCGUCUAGAAGUAUUGAAUGGUUCCAAGACCCCAAACGUGCAUUUGGUUGGGUGUCCCAUCCUCUAGCCCUGUGGCAGCCAGACAUGUCUCCAUGCAGUUGGGCCUGACCUCACUUGGUUCUGGCUGCAGGGGACCUGGACUGCUACAACCAGAAUUACCAUCCCUGCUGCUGCAAGGCUAAGGCUGGCGAGCCAACCUCUCCCCUUGAAGAGGGAUCAUCCCCUGGCCUUUCCUCGUGGCUGGCCUUGUACCCUCUUCCUCUUUCCUGCCUCUCAGCCCUCCCUCCACCCAGCCCACAAGGAUGGAAGCUAUCCUCUUCUGUGUUGGUAUAAUUUUAAAGAAAGUAGCCCUUCCUAAAACAGGAGUUGUGAGCCAGUCUGCCAAUGCCAGGAAAACAGCUUUCUCGGCACGGCAGGUUUUGGAUAUCUAGAGUGACAGAGCUGGCAUUGUUUGUAGAAGGUUAAGUAAGAUUAAUGAGGAAAGAGAGGAAAGCCGUAAAAGGAUCAACGUUUCCAAUCAAUGAGAGAAUGCAUUUAACGUGGGCUCCACCUGCAGUUUCUUUGGCGUGUGUGUCCUGAUGCCAAUUUGAAAGGUUUUGCCUUUAAUGCUUGUAAGUAACCCACCAAGAAAGACCAGUGUGUACUGAGCGUGUAGCUGUGCCCGAUUUAAGCCUUAUCCUGCAGCCGAUGUAUUGAUCAGGAGGCAUUUGUAGAAGAUGGAGGCGUGUUUUAAUAAGAGCCGGAGAGCGGGCGCUCUCCUCCUUAUUCCCAGGACUUUAAAUUAUGAAUUGCCACUUCAGCAUCUUAUUCGGCAGAGGAGAGAAGAGGGUGGGCAGUUUCACUGCAAUAGAGUAAUAGACACAACAUGAGAAGGCUAGUGUCUACCAAGUGACCCAGUCACGGAACCCGAGAGGCUCUCCAGAGCGGUGCUGAAGGAACUUUGGGGGGGAAAAACAAAGUAGGUUUGCUUUUUAGCUUUUCAGGGAAUGUGCGCUUGAGGCCAUUCAACUCCCAUUUUUGGGGUUGGGGAUAGGGAUUGAUACGAGGCCAGUGCCGUGGAGCUGGCUUGCGGUCACCUGAAGAUGGGCCCACGCUUUCUGCUUCCUGUUGGACAUUUGAAUAGCAGGCUUGACGAAGCCACUUAACUCCUUCCAAUUACAGGGGCCAAAUGGGCAUACACAAGACGGGUGGGGGUGGCUUUCUCACGUGUGCGCAGGUUCACGGGCCAGUGUCGUAAUCAGAUUCCAGAAACUGAACUUGCGGAAAGUUUGUGCUAGCCUUGUGGAUUUUCAUUUCAGAUGUUGUCAACUCAAGGGCAUUUGGGCCAAUCAAUAUCUGCCUGUCUUCUCGCACAUAGAAAGUUGGCUAUUAGAAAAGAGAGGCUUACAGCGGGCUCAGCCAAUACCAUUAGCCCUAGCCUAAGGGCAGUUCUGUCCAUGUGCCCGGAUAGGCACCUGCCCCCUCCCCUCCCCCACCAUUAGAGAGGCCACUUGGGAUGUCAUUUGGACAGAGCGGGCAAAGAGCACUUCUUUCUUCUUUCUCUUUUUUUACACCCAGGCUCCCCCAAAAUCAAUAAAUCUGUUCUUUGCUUAUUUUCAGAACUUUACUUCAAUAUAAGCAAGGACUUCCCUUCCAGCAGCAAACUCCAGUAACCCCAUGUCAGGCUUAUGUGCGCGUGUGUGUGUUUGCUUUUUCUGUUUCAAUUUGAAAAAUAAUUGGAAAUAAUAUCUGAUUGAUGUUCUCACCCCCUUCUUUCUUUUUAGCUAAAGAUUUCCUAGAUGAAAGACCUUGGUCCGUCGCCUUUCAGGAUCCAGGACUUGGUUUUCCGUUCCAGGCAGUCUUUUCUGUUCCGAAUGGUUCCGUGAAAUGGAGGAGGUAUUGUUUUCCUAAGCAGAGGGAACUUUGUGCAAAUUGGUUCCUUGUCUGCUGCGCCAAUUGCGAGCUCCUGAUGUUUUCCUUGAGAUUGUGUCUUUUAGGAGAACAAGAAGAGCUCUCUGGCUCAGACAAAAUCCCGGAGCAGUUAGGAUACCAGGAGAGGAAGGAAGAAUAGUGAAUCGCUUAGUGAGCGUUCAGACUGCCUCCUGGCUCUGCAGAGAGACGGCACCCAGUAACAGAGCCUGGGAGGAAGGCUUGGCAGAGUGCACAGCAGAAGCGAGACACAGAGCACAAGCGAGCAAUUCCUUGCUCUAACGUUGCAACAACCACCCCUCUUUGGGCACCAUGGUUUCCAUGCUGUCCAAAUCUUGUACACUUUCUCUGAAAGAUCUCUUUCACUCCAAGAUAGCUGUAGAGCUGCAGUGAUGAGGGACAGUAAGCCCCCUGUGCAGCGUGCUCGGUGCACCAAUUGCAUUGAUUGUAUUUUCUCAGCAUCAGGGUGUUGCAUCCAUGCGGCUGGCUGGUUUUCUUCAGGCUUGCUGUUUUCACAUUCUCUUUCUUGUGUUUGUGCUUGGUUCUCAGUCCCGUUGUAUCUUUGUGUACACAUACGUGUAGCACUGUCACCGUGUAGGACAGUUCCAUCACGGGGACCUCUUGACACCUCAUGAAAUAAAAUAUUUAAGCAUUUUU
Myodes glareolus (Bank vole) is the source of this 3205-nucleotide non-coding RNA. Lineage: Eukaryota; Metazoa; Chordata; Mammalia; Rodentia; Cricetidae. The record is from RefSeq and is a predicted model, not a curated record.